CCUACGGGUGGCAGCAGUGGGGAAUUUUGGACAAUGGGGGAAACCCUGAUCCAGCCAUGCCGCGUGCGGGAAGAAGGCCUUCGGGUUGUAAACCGCUUUCAGCCGGAAAGAAAUCGCACGGACCAAUACUCUGUGUGGAUUACGGUACCGGAAGAAGAAGCACCGGCUAACUACGUGCCAGCAGCCGCGGUAAUACGUACGGUGCGAGCGUUAAUCGAGCGUACGGAGGGUAAAGCGUGCGCCGGCGGUGAAAUCCCCGGGCUUAACCUGGGAACUGCGUUUGGAACUGGGAGACUAGAGUGUGUCAGAGGGAGGUGGAAUUCCGCGUGUAGCAGUGAAAUGCGUAGAUAUGCGGAGGAACACCGAUGGCGAAGGCAGCCUCCUGGGAUAACACUGACGCUCAUGCACGAAAGCGUGGGGAGCAAACAGGAUUAGAUACCCCUGUAGUC
This 449-nucleotide ribosomal RNA is filed under the name uncultured bacterium. Its description in RNAcentral is "partial 16S ribosomal RNA". It matches the Rfam family "Bacterial small subunit ribosomal RNA", at positions 338 to 795 of the family's 1533-position model. The record is from RNAcentral.